RNAcentral lists this ribosomal RNA (492 nucleotides) under uncultured bacterium. Its description in RNAcentral is "partial 16S ribosomal RNA". It matches the Rfam family "Bacterial small subunit ribosomal RNA", at positions 29 to 507 of the family's 1533-position model. The record is from RNAcentral.
AGUGAACGCUGGCGGUAGGCCUAACACAUGCGAGUCGAACGGCAGCACAGUAAGAGCUUGCUCUUACGGGUGGCGAGUGGCGGACGGGUGAGGAAUACAUCGGAAUCUACUUUUUCGUGGGGGAUAACGUAGGGAAACUUACGCUAAUACCGCAUACGACCUACGGGUGAAAGCAGGGGAUCUUCGGACCUUGCGCGAUUGAAUGAGCCGAUGUCGGAUUAGCUAGUUGGCGGGGUAAAGGCCCACCAAGGCGACGAUCCGUAGCUGGUCUGAGAGGAUGAUCAGCCACACUGGAGCUGAGACACGGUCCAGACUCCUACGGGAGGCAGCAGUGGGGAAUAUUGGACAAUAGGCGCAAGCCUGAUCCAGCCAGACCGCGUGGGUGAAGAAGGCCUUCGAGUUGUAAAGCCCUUUUGUUGGGAAAGAAAAGCAGCAGGUUAAUACCCCGCUGUUCUGACGGUACCCAAAGAAUAAGCACCGGCUAACUUCGUG